This 484-nucleotide ribosomal RNA is filed under the name uncultured bacterium. RNAcentral's name for it is "partial 16S ribosomal RNA". It matches the Rfam family "Bacterial small subunit ribosomal RNA", at positions 30 to 507 of the family's 1533-position model. The record is from RNAcentral.
AUUGAACGCUGGCGGCAGGCCUAACACAUGCAAGUCGAGCGGAUGAAGGGAGCUUGCUCCUGGAUUCAGCGGCGGACGGGUGAGUAAUGCCUAGGAAUCUGCCUGGUAGUGGGGGAUAACGUCCGUAAACGGGCGCUAAUACCGCAUACGUCCUGAGGGAGAAAGUGGGGGAUCUUCGGACCUCACGCUAUCAGAUGAGCCUAGGUCGGAUUAGCUAGUUGGUUGGGUAAAGGCCUACCAAGGCGACGAUCCGUAACUGGUCUGAGAGGAUGAUCAGUCACACUGGAACUGAGACACGGUCCAGACUCCUACGGGAGGCAGCAGUGGGGAAUAUUGGACAAAGGGCGAAAGCCUGAUCCAGCCAUGCCGCGUGUGUGAAGAAGGUCUUCGGAUUGUAAAGCACUUUAAGUUGGGAAGAAGAGCAGUAAGUUAAUACCUUGCUGUUUUGACGUUACCAACAGAGUAAGCACCGGCUAACUUCGUG